AUUUAAAUAGUUUAAUAAAAACAUUGAUUUGUGGUAUCAAAAAUAAGAUAAUCUUUUUAAAUU
Molecule: transfer RNA, 63 nt
Filed under: Penicillidia dufourii
Lineage: Eukaryota; Metazoa; Arthropoda; Insecta; Diptera; Nycteribiidae
Description: tRNA-His
Source: RNAcentral